CAUCAAAGGAGCAUUCCCUUGAAGAGAGAGUUAUCUCUGGGAUUUAAUUUCAGCCUGGGCAUUGUACCCCUUUCACUACUGUUGGCAACUCCAUGCUUCCAAGAACUAGUGAGCUGAAGAAUUUAGCACUUCUAAUAGAUUCAUCAAGCAAAGAGUAUGAACCAGAACUACCUUCCAGAUGACUUCUUCCUACCACUCUCCUCCUUCCCAGUGUAAGAGAAUGCAAGUAUGUGCUGAUGUUUGAAGCAAGAACAUUCAAGAAUUUCCCUAUUAAUAUAACUUCUAAUGGAAAUACAGUAUACUGGGAUGGAGACUAUAAAGAAGAAAUAA
Long non-coding RNA from Lemur catta (Ring-tailed lemur), 330 nucleotides. RefSeq lists it as uncharacterized. The transcript is spliced from 3 exons. NCBI's taxonomy places the organism in Eukaryota, Metazoa, Chordata, Mammalia, Primates, Lemuridae. The record is from RefSeq and is a predicted model, not a curated record.